GAGAUGGCGACCGGCGCACGGGUGCGCAACGCGUAUGGAACCUGCCCCUGUCGGGGGAAUAGCCCGGGGAAACCCGGAUUAAUGCCCCGUAGUAUCCCGUAGCGGCAUCGCUUGCGGGAUUAAAGAUUUAUCGGACAGGGAUGGCCAUGCGUACCAUUAGCUGGUUGGUGGGGUAACGGCCCACCAAGGCUACGAUGGUUAGGGGCCCUGAGAGGGGGAUCCCCCACACUGGUACUGAGACACGGACCAGACUCCUACGGGAGGCAGCAGUGAGGAAUAUUGGACAAUGGGCGGAGGCCUGAUCCAGCCAUGCCGCGUGCGGGAAGACGGCCCUACGGGUCGUAAACCGCUUUUGUACGGGAAGAAACCUGUCCACGCGUGGACAGCUGACGGUACCGUAAGAAUAAGGACCGGCUAACUCCGUGCCAGCAGCCGCGGUAAUACGGAGGGUCCGAGCGUUAUCCGGAAUCAUUGGGUUUAAAGGGUCCGUAGGCGGGCCGUUAAGUCAGGGGUGAAAUACUGCGGCUCAACCGUAGAGGUGCCCUUGAUACUGGCGGUCUUGAGUCACGGUGGGGCGGCCGGAAUAUGUGGUGUAGCGGUGAAAUGCAUAGAUAUCACAUAGAACACCGAUCGCGAAGGCAGGUCGCCAACCGUGUACUGACGCUGAUGGACGAAAGCGUGGGGAGCGAACGGGAUUAGAUACCCCGGUAGUCCACGCCGUAAACGAUGGACACUAGCUGUCGGGCCCUCGGGCUCGGCGGCCAAGCGAAAGUGAUAAGUGUCCCACCUGGGGAGUACGUUCGCAAGAAUGAAACUCAAAGGAAUUGACGGGGGCCCGCACAAGCGGUGGAGCAUGUGGUUUAAUUCGAUGAUACGCGAGGAACCUUACCAGGGCUUAAAUGCAUUAUGACAGGUCCAGAGAUGGACUUUUCUUCGGAC
RNAcentral lists this ribosomal RNA (939 nucleotides) under uncultured bacterium. RNAcentral describes it as "bacterial SSU rRNA". It matches the Rfam family "Bacterial small subunit ribosomal RNA", at positions 85 to 1027 of the family's 1533-position model. The record is from RNAcentral.